UAGUGAAUACAAUAGGAGUUGCCGAUCCAAAGGCCUGGCUUAGGAGUGAUCCCGAGCCACGUGUACCUUCAAGAUCAAGAUCAAGAUAAGAUCAAGCUCAAAAUUUGUAGCAUCAACAUCUAGCUAGUGCUUGCUGUAAGAAAUCUUAAAGAAAAAAAAAAAAAAAAAUGAAGAAAGUUGAAGCAACGCACUGGUACAUGGAUGUUACAGUAGAGAGUGAAGAAGGAAGAGAUGAAAUGUCAGCAGAGAUGUUACAAGUUAUAAUGCGGGAUGCUGUGCUGGAGGUAUUUGGAGAGUCUGUUGCAAGCCUGCCCCUUGAUGUGCUUAUCUUUGAGCCACGUCUUGGCCGUGCAGUAAUACGUGUGCCAAGCCUCAACUACUGCCGAGUGCGUGCAGCGCUCUCACUGUACUGUAGUAAAGCUGGUGUGAGUUUUGGUGUGAGUAAUGCUUCCCCAUGCCUCAUUGCUUUGGCUGGACCAUGCCGGACUCUUACUUGAGGGCAUAAAGAUAGAAAUGGAUCAGGAGGCCAACCGAGAUGCACUGAUAAUGCAGGCAAGGGACCCUCCAAACCUGAGGGAUAUGUGAGGCACCUAAGGCAAGAGAGUGUCUGGUCUUGGUACAUCAGUUUUUUGGAACUUCCUCCUCUCCCUCCCCUCCUCCCCUUUAUCUGGCAUGGCACACUUAGUUUCUAAAGAUCUCCUCUUCCCUCUCUGGUAUGGAAGACACAUCUCCCAGAGACUUUCUCUUCUUUCUCGGGUUUGGCAAUAUUAGCAUCUACCUGAAGUCUCUCUCUCUCUCUCUCUCUCUCUCUCUCUCUCUCUCUCUCUCUCUCUCUCUCUCUCUCUCUCUCUCUCUCUCUCUC
Scylla paramamosain (green mud crab) is the source of this 862-nucleotide long non-coding RNA. RefSeq lists it as uncharacterized. The transcript has 5 exons. The record is from RefSeq and is a predicted model, not a curated record. Lineage: Eukaryota; Metazoa; Arthropoda; Malacostraca; Decapoda; Portunidae.